CUUUGUUCUAAUCAGGAUGCCAGAAAAUUUCCCGGUGGACCAGCAUACCUUCCCCACGGGGGAAAUGAGACACACAGAGGGGUGGAGUGAGAAACACAAAGUGGCUUGGUGGGGAGAAAGAGACACACAGAGGGGCUGGGAAAAGGCGAACAAGUGACACUCAGAGAGGCUGUGGGGAAAGAGACACACAGAGGUACUGGGGCAGAAGAAAGAGACAAAGAGGUGCUGGGGCAGAAGAAAGAGACACACAGACGGGCUGGGGAAGGGCAG
This is a non-coding RNA of Pelobates cultripes (western spadefoot toad), 270 nucleotides long. NCBI's taxonomy places the organism in Eukaryota, Metazoa, Chordata, Amphibia, Anura, Pelobatidae. The record is from the annotation of a GenBank genome assembly.